RNAcentral lists this ribosomal RNA (505 nucleotides) under uncultured bacterium. RNAcentral's name for it is "bacterial SSU rRNA". It matches the Rfam family "Bacterial small subunit ribosomal RNA", at positions 24 to 518 of the family's 1533-position model. The record is from RNAcentral.
UCAGGAUGAACGCUAGCUACAGGCUUAACACAUGCAAGUCGAGGGGCAGCGAGAGUGUAGCAAUACACUUGUCGGCGACCGGCGCACGGGUGAGUAACGCGUAUCCAACCUGGCCCUUAGUAGGGGAGUAGCCCGGCGAAAGUCGGAUUAAUACCCUAUGUUCUCCUUUGAGAGCAUUUGAUGAGGAGCAAAGAUUUAUCGCUAGGGGAUGGGGAUGCGUCCGAUUAGGCAGCAGGCGGGGUGACGGCCCACCUGGCCGACGAUCGGUAGGGGUUCUGAGAGGAAGGUCCCCCACACUGGUACUGAGACACGGACCAGACUCCUACGGGAGGCAGCAGUGAGGAAUAUUGGUCAAUGGGCGCGAGCCUGAACCAAGCCAAGUAGCGUGAGGGACGACGGCCCUACGGGUUGUAAACCUCUUUUGCCGGGGAAUAAAGUGCGCCACGCGUGGCGUUUUGUAUGUACCCGGAGAAUAAGGACCGGCUAAUUCCGUGCCAGCCGCUGC